RNAcentral lists this unclassified non-coding RNA (348 nucleotides) under soil metagenome. Its description in RNAcentral is "partial contains 5.8S ribosomal RNA, internal transcribed spacer 2, and large subunit ribosomal RNA". The stretch from base 1 to 120 matches the Rfam family "5.8S ribosomal RNA", at positions 35 to 154 of the family's 154-position model. The record is from RNAcentral.
GAUGAAGAACGCAGCGAAAUGCGAUAAGUAAUGUGAAUUGCAGAAUUCAGUGAAUCAUCGAGUCUUUGAACGCACAUUGCGCCCCCUGGUAUUCCGGGGGGCAUGCCUGUCCGAGCGUCAUUGCUGCCCUCAAGCACGGCUUGUGUGUUGGGCCCCCGCCCCCCGGCUUCGGGGGGCGGGCCCGAAAGGCAGCGGCGGCACCGCGUCCGGUCCUCGAGCGUAUGGGGCUUCGUCGCCCGCUCUGUAGGCCCGGCCGGCGCCCGCCGGCGACCCCAAUCAAUCUUUCCAGGUUGACCUCGGAUCAGGUAGGGAUACCCGCUGAACUUAAGCAUAUCAAUAAGCGGAGGA